This 88-nucleotide unclassified non-coding RNA is filed under the name Pseudomonas costantinii. The record is from RNAcentral. Lineage: Bacteria; Pseudomonadati; Pseudomonadota; Gammaproteobacteria; Pseudomonadales; Pseudomonadaceae.
UGUGGGAGGGGGCUUGUUCCCGAUAGCGGUGUGUCAGUGACCUAUAAGUGCCUGACACACCGCUAUCGGGAGCAAGCCCCCUCCCACA